Molecule: ribosomal RNA, 166 nt
Filed under: uncultured bacterium
Lineage: Bacteria
Description: partial 16S rRNA
Rfam family: Bacterial small subunit ribosomal RNA
Source: RNAcentral
UAGGGAAUCUUCGGCAAUGGGGGCGAACCCUGACCGAGCAACGCCGCGUGAGUGAAGAAGGUUUUCGGAUCGUAAAGCUCUGUUGUAAGAGAAGAACGUGUGUGAGAGUGGAAAGUUCACACAGUGACGGUAACUUACCAGAAAGGGACGGCUAACUACGUGCCCG